UACGGAGGGGACUAGCGUUGUUCGGAAUUACUGGGCGUAAAGCGCACGUAGGCGGAUUUGUAAGUCAGGGGUGAAAUCCCGGGGCUCAACCUCGGAACUGCCUUUGAUACUGCAAAUCUCGAGUCCGGAAGAGGUGAGUGGAAUUCCUAGUGUAGAGGUGAAAUUCGUAGAUAUUAGGAAGAAACACCAGUGGCGAAGGCGGCUCACUGGACCGGUACUGACGCUGAUGCGCGAAAGCGUGGGGAGCAAACGGGG
Molecule: ribosomal RNA, 255 nt
Filed under: uncultured bacterium
Lineage: Bacteria
Description: partial 16S ribosomal RNA
Rfam family: Bacterial small subunit ribosomal RNA
Source: RNAcentral